Molecule: ribosomal RNA, 513 nt
Filed under: uncultured bacterium
Lineage: Bacteria
Description: partial 16S ribosomal RNA
Rfam family: Bacterial small subunit ribosomal RNA
Source: RNAcentral
GACGAACGCUGGCGGCAUGCCUAAUACAUGCAAGUCGAGCGAACAGAUGAAGUGCUUGCACUUCUGACGUUAGCGGCGGACGGGUGAGUAACACGUAAGGAAUCUACCUAUAAGCGGGGGAUAACAUUCGGAAACGGGUGCUAAUACCGCAUAAUAUCUUCUUCCGCAUGGAAGGAGAUUGAAAGACGGCUCUGCUGUCACUUAUAGAUGACCUUGCGGUGCAUUAGUUAGUUGGUGGGGUAACGGCCUAUCAAGACGAUGAUGCAUAGCCGACCUGAGAGGGUGAUCGGCCACAUUGGGACUGAGACACGGCCCAAACUCCUACGGGAGGCAGCAGUAGGGAAUCUUCCGCAAUGGGCGAAAGCCUGACGGAGCAAUGCCGCGUGAGUGAAGAAGGCCUUCGGGUCGUAAAACUCUGUUAUAAGAGAAGAACAAAUUGUAGAGUGACUGCUACAGUCUUGACGGUAUCUUAUCAGAAAGCCACGGCUAACUACGUGCCAGCAGCCGCCGUAA